This 1734-nucleotide long non-coding RNA is filed under the name Calidris pugnax (ruff). RNAcentral describes it as "lncRNA (ENSCPUG00000008138.1)". Lineage: Eukaryota; Metazoa; Chordata; Aves; Charadriiformes; Scolopacidae. The record is from RNAcentral.
GGACACCCCCCUCCUCCUCCCCUGCCGAGCGAUCCUGAAGCCGGGAUCAAGCGACUAAACAAGUCCGGCUCAGAGUCGUAGUAGGCGCUCUACUCCUCCCGCUUCGAGCCCGACCUUCCGCCGAUCCCCCAGCGACGGCUCUCCCCGCGCAGACUCCCUCAGCACAGCCCGCACCAAAAGCGCCCUGAAGCUCCCAACAUGGCCGCCGCCUUCAUCUUCCCUCAGAGCCGCCCCCCCCCCCUCCGCGCUCCAGCCGCGAAAUGGAUGCCGGGAGGGGAGGUGAUCUCGCGAGAGCUGGCGGGCGGGGGCGCGGCGGGACGUGCUGAGGGGAGGGGAGCCAUUAGGGCCGCCCGGGGAAUUGCUGUGGUGGUCCGGGAGUUCUCAGCGCUCCGGUCCGCCCCGCCUGUGGAGCGCGGCUUCCCCGGCGGCGGAGUGGCUCGCCGGGGCUCGGCUGUGCCUUGUCGCGCUGUCUCUGCCUGGUGGAAGGGCGAUGUGUGGGCUGAGGCGGGCCGGGCCGAGGCCGGCGUCUCCCCUCAGCGCCCCGACAGCCGGAGCUCGGAAACCCCCGCCCUGCCCCAGCCUGCGGACACCGGGCCGUGCCAAAGUAGGUGGGGCGAUUGGGGGUUUUGGGGUUUUUUUGAGAGGCUCAAGUUGCCUAGCAUUAAAUGCUAAGUUCUUGUGAGCCUUAAGAAGCAAUUUAGAACCCAGUCGUGCAGAGAGCUGCAAAAGUCUAGGUGCUGAUAACGGUUUAGUCCGUAUUUCCAGGGGGAUUCCCAGUUGAGAUAGGCGGAUCUUGCCAAGCAACACGAAGCAGUGUCCCUAUUGAUGAAAUCUUGACUAAAGUUUGGAAUUAAUCCUGAAGAAAAUACCCUUUUAGUACAAGUAAACAUUGAAAAAAAAAUAAUCGUGAUUUAGAGAUUGCACUUAAGCUGUGCACCUUGUGUAAAGAAUCACGAAUGAGGGGUGCUGUUGAGGGCUCUGCCUGUUAAAACGUGAUCCUGCCUCAGCUCCACCCCUCCCUUUUAAUAUUUGCAGCAGCCUAGAAAAUUACACGCAACAAAAAAUAACUGAUGGAAAGGGCACUUAAUAGCUUUUGUUGCAGCAACCGGACACUAAUAUGUUGCAAAGAUUGAGUAAGUAUUUUAUUCAGGAUAGGGCUUGGAAAUGCAAUGGUGAGCCUGCUUUUUCUGGAAGCGCCUGCGUGUUUCUAAGUAGAAGCUAUGAGAGACUUCUGGAAAGCAUGUAUUUGAAAGAAACCCAUGUCACAUACAAGAAAAACAGCGCUUCUUUCUAAGCACUUUCACUUUCUAGACAACAAAAAGAUCCUUGUCUAUGUGAACUGUUAUUACUCCCUGCAGCUCAACACGGCAGUGGUAUUUCUGUUACGAAGAAUUUAGGCUGGAAACAGGGCACGGGAUUUAACAAUGUUGAACUGAACAGCAACUUAAGUUUUGGGGAGGAUUUUCUUUCUGAGCCAAUUUUAAAACCUUGGUCAUAAGUUAACUUUCCCAGUAGAUGUUCUCUGUUUCAAAUCAAAGAUAAUUCAGGAAAGAUUGUAUUUUAGGAGAUCAGAUGAAAUGAUCACAGUGGUCUCUUUGACUUUUUUAUUCUAUGCAUAUUUAACUCCUGAAAAUGAAAGAGCAACAAAUAUGUUUAGAAAUAUGUUUUCUAUGAUGAAAAGCAUGUAAAUAUUUGAAAAAAAAAAUAAUAAAAGAAUGAAUACAAAAGUACCCA